AAUAUUUUAGAGUAGUUCUGCCUAAUAAUGCCGAUAAGAUUUUUUAGUUAAGUAAAAAGGUUUUGGAUUUCAUAACUAAUAAGUAAUGUUUUACUAUAUACUUCAUGUGUCCUGAAAGAAAUGACCACAAGAAAAAAAAAAAGAAGAACAAAAAGGCAGUUUGGUUACGUUAAACAAUAUCCUAAAUCGACCUAUCAAAGAGUCGGUAAUUUUCCAACUACCUUACCUUAGUGAUGUGAUGUCUUGUUGUUAACACUCCU
This 260-nucleotide long non-coding RNA is filed under the name Capsella rubella. RNAcentral describes it as "long non-coding RNA (CRUB_LNC003186)". The record is from RNAcentral. Lineage: Eukaryota; Viridiplantae; Streptophyta; Magnoliopsida; Brassicales; Brassicaceae.